This 624-nucleotide ribosomal RNA is filed under the name Nocardiopsis alba. RNAcentral describes it as "bacterial SSU rRNA". It matches the Rfam family "Bacterial small subunit ribosomal RNA", at positions 229 to 850 of the family's 1533-position model. The record is from RNAcentral. Lineage: Bacteria; Bacillati; Actinomycetota; Actinomycetes; Streptosporangiales; Nocardiopsidaceae.
UUUCGCGGCCUAUCAGCUUGUUGGUGGGCUAACGGCCUACCAAGGCGAUUACGGGUAGCCGGCCUGAGAGGGCGACCGGCCACACUGGGACUGAGACACGGCCCAGACUCCUGCGGGAGGCAGCAGUGGGGAAUAUUGCGCAAUGGGCGAAAGCCUGACGCAGCGACGCCGCGUGGGGGAUGACGGCCUUCGGGUUGUAAACCUCUUUUACCACUCACGCAGGCUCCGGGUUUUCUCGGGGUUGACGGUAGGUGGGGAAUAAGGACCGGCUAACUACGUGCCAGCAGCCGCGGUAAUACGUAGGGUCCGAGCGUUGUCCGGAAUUAUUGGGCGUAAAGAGCUCGUAGGCGGCGUGUCGCGUCUGCUGUGAAAGACCGGGGCUUAACUCCGGUUCUGCAGUGGAUACGGGCAUGCUAGAGGUAGGUAGGGGAGACUGGAAUUCCUGGUGUAGCGGUGAAAUGCGCAGAUAUCAGGAGGAACACCGGUGGCGAAGGCGGGUCUCUGGGCCUUACCUGACGCUGAGGAGCGAAAGCAUGGGGAGCGAACAGGAUUAGAUACCCUGGUAGUCCAUGCCGUAAACGUUGGGCGCUAGGUGUGGGGACUUUCCACGGUUUCCGCGCCGUA